UUCAGCUUGAGGCUUGCUGGGAUUCCCGUGUGCAACCAGGCCGCAGAGGGCACAGGACGGUGCUGGUCUCAUCAGGUGUGGCCUGUGCCCAUCAGGAGCAGCACCAGCAUCUUUCAGCUCCUCACACCCCAACUGCCCUAAAAACCCGUCACCUCAGCCCGGGGAUAUCCAUUUUACAUUUGUACAGCUGGGCCUUCUUCCAUCUGAACUGUUCCAAGGUAUACUCUGCUAUUUUGAC
Molecule: long non-coding RNA, 238 nt
Filed under: Homo sapiens (human)
Lineage: Eukaryota; Metazoa; Chordata; Mammalia; Primates; Hominidae
Description: HSALNT0036005
Source: RNAcentral